This 7328-nucleotide long non-coding RNA is filed under the name Zea mays. RNAcentral describes it as "long non-coding RNA (ZMAY_LNC002074)". The record is from RNAcentral. Lineage: Eukaryota; Viridiplantae; Streptophyta; Magnoliopsida; Poales; Poaceae.
CAAGAUCAUUACACGGUUAAUAUAACUGGAACGGAAUGAAUCAAAUAUCUAAUGCCAAAGUUAAUACAUACUCAUUAAUCGCAGAUUAACGACGACGUGGUGCAAUCCUAUCGACCGACCACUUACCACAAAAAGGGUCACACGAGGUGCAGCCACAGAAAAUCUUUAGAUGUGAGAUCUGGUGUGGCUAGCAUCUCCUUUCUCUCCACCAACUGCUCACUCCUUCACAAUUCUCUUCUCCCUCGUCUGCUGCGCACGCACGAACUGAAAUGGUUGAUUCGAUUUAUGAGUUCCGUGCAUAGGGGGUGAAAAAUGAAAGAAAAUUGGAUGCUUUUCCGUUGUCUGGGGAUAGUCCCAAAAGGAGUAGCAAAUGAUUUUUAAUAAAAUGCUUUUGGAUUCAAUCGUGCUCCAGCUGCAAAAUGAUUUUUACUGUAUGCAUACGGACCUACGAAUGGGGCUGGAGGUUCGAUGUAUCUUCCUGAGGCCAGGGAUCUUCUACUACAUCUGGAAGUCGCAUACUGCUUUAUUGGUUGUUCUCUCUUCAACCUUCCAUGUGCCUCCACUCCAUUCUUCAAACGCAACGACGCAAGGGGACGGGUGGGACUGGCCUGGUCGGGGCUCGGUGCUGGGCUUCGGCGCAGGUGUCGGGGAGCCGCGGCCAGGGGCAAGAACGCACACGCACGUGGGGGCUGGGGGCUCCAUGUGGUCUGCGUUGCAGGGAGCAGGCACUGACCAUGGUGGCAAACCCGCAGCAGCUAGCUACGGCGGAGCGGAGCGGGAGCGAGAUAGACGAGGGAAGGGGGUAGACGACCUCACCUCACCAGACCAUCACGAUGAAGAACGGCGAGGGAAAACAUGGACAGCAGGUCAGCGAAGCUCCGGUGGGGAAGGUGCUUGGCGUCGGGGUUUCUUCGACCGCUCGCCGGAGCCGGGCCACGCCACGCCGAGCUGCGCGCAGGAGAGCCAAGGGCGGAGCUGCGCCGCCGGAAAGGGUUGGUCGUGCCCGAGGGCAGGGAGGCGCUAGAGAGAGGGGAGCGGGGCGAGGGAGAUGCAGGGGUUGUUCAAAUGGUCGACAUGGGUGGGCGGUUGGUGCUUUUCUACAUCUGGGCAAGAUGGACGGGGACAGACAGUUUUGAGGGAGAUAACAAAUGGGCCCCAUGGCGCAGUACCACGCCCCAGCGAGGGAGACUGCCCGGUAGGGCCUGGGGCAAGGAGCACCUAGGCACAGCUGUGCCAGCACGCUCGACACGCGACGUGGCUGGGCCACAGGGCGUGGGAGAUGGUCACUAAAUUUGUUGUAGAUCGCGUUCUAGUCGAGCGAGACGGUUGCACGAGACAGUGUAAGACGGAGACAGAGUUAGACGUGUGGUAGACAUGGUUAGAUAAAAUUAGACGAAGAUAGUCGGAGGCCCACGGGCCCAGGAUGACGAGAUAGAUGUCGGAAGAGUAGAUGGGGAUAGACGAGAAUAACCGACGCGAGCAGCAUGCCGUUCGCGAGAAAAAGUGGUUCAGUGAUCUCGCGAGAAAGGGCACGUGAUCUGGAACAAGCCUGACGAGAGGAAGAAAAAAUACAUAUAUUAUCAAGUUUUUUGGAAUAUUUUAGUUUUCGUAAAUACUAAAUUUUAGAGAUAAAAAUAAUACCAGAGAAUCUAGAUUUCAGCUUAAUACUCGAAAAAAGUUUCGAAUGGUUAGAAAAUCCCCCAAAACAUGCUCGAGAUAAUUUUACAUAUUUCGAAAACUUUUUGCACUCAUAAACAUUAUGCAAUGGCAUGAAUGCAACAAUCAAAGCUUCUCUAUGAUUUUAUUCUACUAUGCUAAAACUUAUAUAUAAUAAAAUAACUCUCCAUUAUUUAGAAAAAAAGAAAAGAAAAGCAAGAAAAAGAGAGGGUAACACCUGAAUUUGGUGAAUAUUAGAAAAGAAAUUUUAUACCCCUAAAUUCAGGGUGUUACAAAUCUAACCCGCUUAACAGAAUCUCGCCCUCGAGAUUCAAGAAGAGGCUAGCAAGAAAAUAAGAUUGGCUCAUUGGUUUUUCAUAGUUUGUUCUAACUCAACUUUAACUCUGCCAGCUUUAACUUGCGCACUGGUUGCUUUAACCUUCAGAUGUUCACGACCCACUGAUGCAAUUCUUAAGGAUCUCUUGGACUUGUGGGUUAGGACCCACUCACGGUUUCUCUGCGCUACUCUGAUCUUGUUGGUUGAUGUUAAUCGCAUUGCCAUAAUUGGGGUUAGCGGCUAACCCCCUUAACAGGAGCAUUGAUACGCACUUGGGGAAGAUGCUGCCGACUCUGAUCUUGACUGAUUAAGAGAGGUUGUAGGAUGUCAAUCGAACAGGUGCAAGUGGGAAGGGUAUAUAUAGAAAAGGUAAGCAUAGAUGGAUUAAAGAGAGAAAAGGGAGAGCACCCAGCUACCUUACUCUAUGGCAAUCCGCUAGUAAAAUGAUGUCAUUGCGGACCAAGGGCCACAACACAUCAACACUCAUCACAAAAAAGCAAACCAGUCAUAACAUACAAACAAACAUCACAAGCAUACAACAACAAACAUUUCGUUGCUAUAUGUUCCUUUUAAUUAAAUGGUGGACUUUCUUAAGAAGGGAAUAACUACUCUCUAAGGUUGUCGAAGGAGGAGGAGAAGAAUAGUAUGUGCAGGAUAGGGGCAUGGGCACAAUAAAGGAUGGAGUUAAAGCAAGCAAUGUAAGCGACUAGGAUAAGGAUACGACCCAAGGCAUAAUGGGCAGAACACCACUCUCGAGUUGAUAUAGAAAAGUAGAGGUUCCAAAAAGCAGACCUAAGAUAAGCAUCGAGGCAAGAUCUAGUGAUUACAAAGGUAAGGGUGGUGUCAAUAAAAAGCUAUGACUUGCAAUUCAACAGAGAAAAAGGGAACGACCAAGAGCAGAAUGGGUAAGAUAACACUCUUGAACUAAAACGGGAGAGGAGGCUUUAAAAUGCAAUGCAGGUGUAGGAUAAGCAUCAAGGUAAAGAUCGAGGGAUGACAAGGGUUAAGUGAUAACAAACAAACGCACAGCAAAAGGAUGUAUUUUAGAUAAAAUUGCAAGGUGUCAAAGAAGGCGAUCAGUCAAUGAUGAAAUAGAUGAGGCCUUAUCCUCGAACAGGGAUGGAAAAGAGGUGCUUUGAAGGGUAGGUUCAAAGUAAGCAGAAAGGCAAGGGCAUAUAUAUAUCACGAGGGUUUUAGAGGUAAUAACAGUCAAGGAUGUAGGGGAGGAGGUAAUAGGCAUAAAACAAAGGAUAUAAGUACCAUACAAGAUGGAGUUAAGAUAGGACCUGUAAAUGGAAAAGGUGAGAAUACGUCCAAGGGCCAGAUAGGUAAACUGCUACUCUCAAAUUGAGGUGGAAGAGAGGGGAUUUUUAAAGAGUAGAAAUAAAGAUGAGUAUCAAGGCAAGAUCGAUGGACGACAAGGUGAGGGUUAUAGAAAAUAAAAACACCUCAAGGGAUAGAAUUAACACAAAACUUGUAAGGCGACAAGAAGUGAAAAGAAAUUAAGGGAGAGGUAGGUACCUCGCAACUCUCAAACUGGGUUGAAAUAAAGUGGAGGCUUUCAAAGGACAAGUUUAAGGUAAGCAUUUAGGUAGAAGACAUAAAUAUCGCAAGGGUCAAACGAGAUAACAGACAAGGGUAUGAGAGAACAGAUGAAGGCAUAGAAGAGCUUGUGGUAUGAGUACAACAAAGAAUGGAGUUGCGCCCAAGCUUACACUUGGUAAAGAAGAGGAUAUAGCCAAGUGUGAGGUAAGUAAAAAAAUCGCUCUCAAAUUGGAAUAUGAAGUUGGAGAUUUUAGAUAACAGACAUAACGUAAUCACCAAGGUAAGAUCAAGGGGUGAGAAAGGUAAAGGUAAUAGCAAACAAAAGUAGGCAAAGGAUGGAGUUAAAAACUCGCAAGGGACAAAGAAGAUGAUAUGCCCAAGAGAAAAUAGGUAAAACAUACAACUCUCAAAUUGAGAUGGGAGAGGGGAGACUUUAAAGGGUAGGUAUAAGAUGAACAUCAAUGCAAGAUAUAGAAGUAUCAAGGGUAAAGGUGAUAAUCAUAAAGAGCAUAGCAAAGGAUGGACUUAAGUCAAGACUCGCGAAAUGGCAAAAUGGAGAAAACAAUCACUGGUAAGGUAGGUAAGGUUCCAACAAAAUGGUUGAAGUAAAAGAAAUUAUUACCGAGGGAAGUUAUAUGGAAACGAUGAGAACGUUAAGGAUGUGAGGAAUAGAACGAUCACUCAUAGAUCAUGAGGAAACAAAGGUGGUCAAGAGCAUGUAAAUUGAAAUGUCUUAAACAAACAUUGGGGUACAAAGGUAAGCAUUUAUAUAAAAAGUAAGAGUAUGCAAGAUUCCGAAGGUGUGAGCAUACUAAGACCAAGGGAGUACGAAUAGCCGAAAGAUAGUGACUUAACAACAGAAUAGGAAAGGGUCUCAAAAGACAGGAUGAUCAUGGACAUAUAAACUGAAAUGUUUAAGUAGGCAGUAGAAAUUCAGAGGUAAGUAUUUAAAACAAGGGUAUUGAAGAAUCCGGGGAUACGAGCAUGUCAAUACCAAUGGAAUAGAGAUUGCUAAAUGGUGGCAAUUUAAUGACAGAAGAGGAAACAAUCCGAAAAACAAGAAGGUUAUGGUCAGGGGGCAUCUACAAAGAUGUCACAAGCACAAGAGCAAGAUCAGAUCUAAUAGAUUGAGAGAAGUAUAGACCACACUAGGAUAAAAUACUUUUGGCAAGGGGGCAUAUAGGAGCACAACAUAGAAUUAGUCGAGGUGACUAAUAUUUUGAAGCAGAAUCAAGGAUGAGGUGAAGUAACAGUCAAUAAGUCCUUAAAACGGUCAAUGCUACUCUAGGCUAGCGGUCCUACAGUCAGCACGGCUUUGAUACCACUUAUGUCACACCCGGUUUUAGAAGGCAAACCGAAUGCGAACCAUGUACGUGCCAGGAUCAGCAAUUCACGUACACAACAGUUACAUAACUGGACAUCAUCACACAGUGCUCAAAUAAUAACAUAAAAGGGUAAUAAUAGUCGAUUACAUCAUAUGUCUGAGACAUCCACAUAGUCUUUACAAUAAUCAAAGUGCGGAAAAGAAACAUAGAUACACGCGGCCUUCACAGGCAGCCGACUGGGGGUUGCCGCUAACCCACGCCUAAAUCUCGUCGUAAUAUUAGAACUCCUGGAAGUCUCCUUCUACGGCUUCAUCUUCUCCUGAGCAGUGGUUGCAAUGCAGACAACCUGGGGAUGGGGGGUUUGGUGUGUAGAGCAAGGGUGAGUACACAUCAACAUACUCAGCAAGUGUCCUGUUUGGUUGUAGUGGACUAGCUUUAUGUGGGGCUAAGUCAAGCAAUUGCUUUUAGUUGGUCAGAUUAUUAUUACUAGUAGAGAAAGCCAAGUUUUAGAAUUAACCCACGUUAUUAACCCAAACGUACCCUUUCCAAACGGAAAGAAUACCACUUACUGUUACCAUAGUUAAUGCCAAACCAUCAUUCUCAUUGCCACCUGUAAUCCGAACAUCUCUGAUCAAGUGCCACUAAUCAAUGGAGCUCCCUUGGCCGCUCAUAACCGCGAGCACGGCUGAUAUAUCAGUUUCAUAACACUCUGCAGAGGUUGUGCACUUUACCCACAAGCCGUGAUUCCCUCUUGCCUCGGGCCGAUCAAACCCUUAAACACUACCAAGGUGAAUAGGCAGGGUCUCACUACGUAGCCUUUACAAAGAUUCCCUGGGGUUGUAGCCGCCCGUUAGGUUUCCUAAAUGCACCGCACUCCUCCUCAAGGGGCGAACCAACCUUAGCAGAGCGAGCCGCAUACACCGAGCCCCAUUAACGGCACGACGGCGAAGCGAACUACACCCCAGUUCCUCUAAUUACUCAGCUAAGGGCAUCCCAUUCCACCCUUAUGGUUGCACUGUUUUCCCGGGCGGUCAUCCAACGAACAGGUCCUUACGGAGAAGCACUCGAGAAACCGCUCGAGCCCCCUUAAAUGCCACAAGUAUAUCAUAAUAAAGAAGGGAAACAGCGUAUCAUUGAUAAAUCUCAUCAUGUUCAUUGAUUAUGGUUAAGCACUAGCAUAAAGCUAAACCAUAAUAAUCCAACCCAAAUAGGUAAACAAGGACAUGGAUAACAAAAACUAGUCAAUCCUUAGGUAUAACUGUGUAAAUGCGGGAAUUGAAUUAUAGAAUGUAUAGGACAAAGAUAGGUCAAGGGACACUUGCCUUCACCAAACAGAUGCUCAGGGUCUUCAUCCUCGUAGAACUCGAAGAGUUCGAUCACUUGGUCGCCAAGCUUGAUCAUCGAUCCCUCGAAGCUCGGAAACGGAUCACAGUCUAUUCGUGACGCACAGCGAAUACAAACAGGCACAAACAAACAUAUAUAUAUAUAUGCAUAAGAACAUUACACCAUUCAAAUAAAAAAAUAACAAAAUAUGCAAAACGAAGUAGAGUGCGUUACUACGGUCACACGAGGAAAAGAAGCGUCGAAAUCGAAGCUAUGGUCAAGAAGUUAACGGGUUUACGCUAAACAAAUACUAAUUAAAACAUUUGAUUCGACCUGAUUAUAUUAAUCGAUAUUUAUUAUAUAAGCCUAAGUGGAAUACUACGCAUUUAAUCUAGUUAGAAUGUUAAUCUAAUAAAUAUUAGUCGAGCGAACCUUAAGUUAAUUAUCUAAAACAUAUGACCUGACGAAUUAACGUUAUUAACAUGAGUAAUUAUAAGCAAAAACAAUUUAUUAUCACACACAGACGCCGCACGACCCACGUGAUCGACACGCGAGAUACACGCUAACGGUCCACGGUAAGGCAAACGACACGAGUAAAUGACACACGCGACGCACACACACGACGUAUGACAACGCGGGCGAACAGCACGCGCGACACGUGCUAACCAACGUGACUACGCGCGCGAACAGCUCAAUGACGCGCAUACGAUGUCGCGCGCGAACAAUGACAAAUAAAUAAUUAAAUAAAAGUAUUUAAGCUGGUAUUAAUCAAGUUAAUUAACAUUUAUAUUUAUAAAAGCAUGAGUUAAAACUAUAGACUCGUUCUAAUUAAAUUGUUAUUUUAAUAACCCUCAAGUAAACCAAUAAUUAAUUAUUUAACUAAAACAUGUGUGGUAACAACAUAAUAAUUUUAACGUGCGUACAAGAUCAUUACACGGUUAAUAUAACUGGAACGGAAUGAAUCAAAUAUCUAAUGCCAAAGUUAAUACAUACUCAUUAAUCGCAGAUUAACGACGACGUGGUGCAAUCCUAUCGACCGACCACUUACCACAAAAAGGGUCACACGAGGUGCAGCCACAGAAAAUCUUUAGAUGUGGGAUCUGGUGUGGCUAGCAUCUCCUUUCUCUCCACCAACUGCUCAC